This 535-nucleotide ribosomal RNA is filed under the name uncultured Verrucomicrobiota bacterium. Its description in RNAcentral is "bacterial SSU rRNA". It matches the Rfam family "Bacterial small subunit ribosomal RNA", at positions 521 to 1055 of the family's 1533-position model. The record is from RNAcentral. Lineage: Bacteria; Pseudomonadati; Verrucomicrobiota.
UAAUACAGAGGUGGCGAACGUUGUUCGGAUUCACUGGGCGUAAAGGGUGCGUAGGUGGUUUCGUGUGUCGGAUGUGAAAUCCCACUGCACAACGGUGGAACGGCGUCCGAAACUGCGAGGCUAGAGUGCAGGUGAGGAGAGCGGAACUCUUGGUGCAGCGGUGAAAUGCGUUGAUAUCAAGAAGAACGCCGGUGGCGAAGGCGGCUCUCUGGAAUGCAACUGAUACUGAGGCACGAAAGCUGGGGGAGCAAACAGGAUUAGAUACCCUGGUAGUCCCAGCCUUAAACGGUGUCACUUGGUGUAGGGGGAAUUAACCCCCCCUGUGCCGGAGCGAACGCGUUAAGUGCACCGCCUGGGGAGUACGGCCGCAAGGCUAAAACUCAAAGAAAUUGACGGGGGCCCGCACAAGCGGUGGAGCAUGUGGCUUAAUUCGAUGCAACGCGAAGAACCUUACCAGUGCUUGACAUGCAGCUGCAGGCCCCGGGAAACCGGGGCGGCCUUCGAAGGUGCUGCACAGGUGCUGCAUGGCUGUCGA